This 248-nucleotide ribosomal RNA is filed under the name uncultured soil bacterium. RNAcentral describes it as "partial 16S ribosomal RNA". It matches the Rfam family "Bacterial small subunit ribosomal RNA", at positions 27 to 276 of the family's 1533-position model. The record is from RNAcentral.
GGAUUGAACGCUGGCGGCAUGCCUUACACAUGCAAGUCGAACGGCAGCACGGGAGCAAUCCUGGUGGCGAGUGGCGAACGGGUGAGUAAUACAUCGGAACGUGCCCAAUCGUGGGGGAUAACGCAGCGAAAGCUGUGCUAAUACCGCAUAAGAUCUACGGAUGAAAGCAGGGGAUCGCAAGACCUUGCGCGAAUGGAGCGGCCGAUGGCAGAUUAGGUAGUUGGUGAGGUAAAGGCUCACCAAGCCUU